This 77-nucleotide transfer RNA is filed under the name Acidobacteriota bacterium. Its description in RNAcentral is "Acidobacteria bacterium tRNA-Arg". It matches the Rfam family "tRNA". From Rfam's summary of the family: Transfer RNA (tRNA) molecules are approximately 80 nucleotides in length. The record is from RNAcentral. Lineage: Bacteria; Pseudomonadati; Acidobacteriota.
GCGCCCGGAGCUCAGUUGGAUAGAGCGCCGGUCUACGAAACCGUAGGUCGCAAGUUCGAGUCUUGCCGGGCGCGCCA